Rhineura floridana is the source of this 72-nucleotide non-coding RNA. The record is from the annotation of a RefSeq genome assembly. NCBI's taxonomy places the organism in Eukaryota, Metazoa, Chordata, Lepidosauria, Squamata, Rhineuridae.
AGGGCUGUGGCUCAGUGGUAGAGCAUCUGCUUUGUAUGCAGAAGGUCCUGGGUUCAAUUCCUAACAUCUCUA